CCCCGUUUGAGCAGCUCGAUCUUGCCGCCACCGCCCUCCUCGGCCGGGGUGCCGUAGACCUCGACGGUCAGGCCGAGCUCGUCGGCCAGCGGCGC
RNAcentral lists this transfer RNA (95 nucleotides) under Actinoplanes sp. L3-i22. Its description in RNAcentral is "tRNA-Arg". The record is from RNAcentral. Lineage: Bacteria; Bacillati; Actinomycetota; Actinomycetes; Micromonosporales; Micromonosporaceae.